AACGCGAAGAACCUUACCAGGUCUUGACAUCCCCCUGAAUCACCUAGAGAUAGGUGCGGCCUUCGGGACAGGGGAGGACAGGUGGUGCAUGGUUGUCGUCAGCUCGUGUCGUGAGAUGUUGGGUUAAGUCCCGCAACGAGCGCAACCCUUGAAUUUAGUUGCCAGCACUAUGGGUGGGCACUCUAAAUUGACUGCCGGUGACAAACCGGAGGAAGGCGGGGAUGACGUCAAAUCAUCAUGCCCCUUAUGACCUGGGCUACACACGUACUACAAUGGCCGGUACAACGGGCCGCGAAGCCGCGAGGCGGAGCCAAUCCUAAAAAGCCGGUCUCAGUUCGGAUUGCAGGCUGCAACUCGCCUGCAUGAAGUCGGAAUUGCUAGUAAUCGCGGAUCAGCAUGCCGCGGUGAAUACGUUCCCGGGCCUUGUACACACCGUAGUAC
Molecule: ribosomal RNA, 441 nt
Filed under: uncultured bacterium
Lineage: Bacteria
Description: bacterial SSU rRNA
Rfam family: Bacterial small subunit ribosomal RNA
Source: RNAcentral